AUUGAACGCUGGCGGCAGGCCUAACACAUGCAAGUCGAACGAGUGGCGGACGGGUGAGUAAUGUCUGGGAAAAUGCCUGAUGGAGGGGGAUAACAACUGGAAACGGUAGCUAAUACCGCAUACCAUCGGAUGUGCCCAGAUGGGAUUCGCUAGUUGGUUGGGUAAAGGCUCACCUAGGCGACGAUCCCUAGCUGGUCUGAGAGGAUGUCCAGCCACACUGGAACUGAGACACGGUCCAGACUCCAACGGUAGGCAGCAGUGGGGAAGUGUGCAAAAUGGGCGCAAGCCUGAUGCAGCCAUGCCGCGUGUAUGAAGAAGGCCUUCGGGUUGUAAAGUACUUUCAGCUGGGAGGCGUUACCCGCAGAAGAAGCACCGGCUAACUCCGUGCCAGCAGCCGCGGUAAUAC
Molecule: ribosomal RNA, 406 nt
Filed under: uncultured bacterium
Lineage: Bacteria
Description: partial 16S ribosomal RNA
Rfam family: Bacterial small subunit ribosomal RNA
Source: RNAcentral